UUGACACUAAUUUCAAAGAAUUCAGCCCAAAAUUGGAUCAAAUAAACAAAACGAUUGAAUCGGAUCCAAACUGGACCCGUAAACCCAACCGGUCCAACAUUUAAAUGAACCGAGGCUCUUCUUCCUCCCCACUUCAGCAAAGAGCUCGUUGAAAGCACAAACAGGAGAGAGAAGAAAACCAAAUUCCCUAACCCUUACGUUACUUUAAAUUACCGUAUCUCUUUCAUCCGAGCUCCGAUCGCCGCAUCGUUUGUGGCCACGCGAUCACCGCGUCGAGUUCUACGAUUUUAUUGGAAUAAUUUCAUAGGAUCCAAAUAGCUUCAGGAAAACGUUCACUCUUACUUAUACGAAACUUGGGUAAGAACCGUGACUCGCCACCACGUAUUCCAAGUAGAGACUCGAUACUCAGUUGACUUUACGUCGCAAGGGUGACCGGACACGUAUAAAUUAUCGGGAAUGGAUAACCCCCAUUGAGUAAAGUUAUAUAUGAAUGUAAGAAUUAUGAUUGAAAUAAAGAAAAGCUAUGCAUAGACUCAUGGGGAUGCGCGACGGGAGACAGUCCAAGGAUUUUCGGACUUGUCGGGUUGGCUUGAUAACCGACAGAUGAGCCUCAUCAGUCAUAGGACAGAUAUAAGUCAAGAGACACCUUGCUAGGCGUCUGGAGUUCUCUGCAGCAAAGUGGCCUUUUGGGGAUUAUUUUUUGUUUUGUUUUGUUAUAUGUAUAUAUAUGUGCAGUCUCUCCCUAUGUAUAUAUGUUUUACCUUUGUGUCUCAUAGAGGUUUAUGGAGAGCUAGAGUUUUAAACAUGUAUUUUGGC
Long non-coding RNA from Arachis stenosperma, 816 nucleotides. RefSeq lists it as uncharacterized. The transcript is spliced from 4 exons. The record is from RefSeq and is a predicted model, not a curated record. Lineage: Eukaryota; Viridiplantae; Streptophyta; Magnoliopsida; Fabales; Fabaceae.